AGCUAGUUGGUGAGGUAAUGGCCCACCAAGGCGACGAUCGGUAGCCGGACUGAGAGGUUGAACGGCCACAUUGGGACUGAGACACGGCCCAGACUCCUACGGGAGGCAGCAGUGGGGAAUAUUGCACAAUGGGGGAAACCCUGAUGCAGCGACGCCGCGUGGAGGAAGAAGGUCUUCGGAUUGUAAACUCCUGUUGUUGAGGAAGAUAAUGACGGUACUCAACAAGGAAGUGACGGCUAACUACGUGCCAGCAGCCGCGGUAAAACGUAGGUCACAAGCGUUGUCCGGAAUUACUGGGUGUAAAGGGAGCGCAGGCGGGAAGACAAGUUGGAAGUGAAAUCUAUGGGCUCAACCCAUAAACUGCUUUCAAAACUGUUUUUCUUGAGUAGUGCAGAGGUAGGCGGAAUUCCCGGUGUAGCGGUGGAAUGCGUAGAUAUCGGGAGGAACACCAGUGGCGAAGGCGGCCUACUGGGCACCAACUGACGCUGAGGCUCGAAAGUGUGGGUAGCAAACAGGAUUAGAUACCCUGGUAGUCCACACCGUAAACGAUGAUUACUAGGUGUUGGAGGAUUGACCCCUUCAGUGCCGCAGUUAACACAAUGAGUAAUCCACCUGGGGAGUACGACCGCAAGGUUGAAGCUCAAAGGAAUUGACGGGGGCCCGCACAAGCAGUGGAGUAUGUGGUUUAAUUCGACGCAACGCGAAGAACCUUACCAAGUCUUGACAUCCUGCGACGCACAUAGAAAUAUGUGUUUCCUUCGGGACGCAGAGACAGGUGGUGCAUGGUUGUCGUCAGCUCGUGUCGUGAGAUGUUGGGUUAAGUCCCGCAACGAGCGCAACCCUUACUGUCAGUUACUACGCAAGAGGACUCUGGCAGGACUGCCGUUGACAAAACGGAGGAAGGUGGGGAUGACGUCAAAUCAUCAUGCCCUUUAUGACUUGGGCUACACACGUACUACAAUGGCGUUAAACAAAGAGAAGCAAGACCGCGAGGUGGAGCAAAACUCAGAAACAACGUCCCAGUUCGGACUGCAGGCUGCAACUCGCCUGCACGAAGUCGGAAUUGCUAGUAAUCGUGGAUCAGCAUGCCACGGUGAAUACGUUCCCGGGCCUUGUACACACCGCCCGUCACACCAUGAGAGCCGGGGGGACCCGAAGUCGGUAGUCUAACCGCAAGGAGGACGCCGCCGAAGGUAAAACUGGUGAUUGGGGUGAAGUCGUAACAAGGUAGCCGUAGGAGAACCUGCGGCUG
RNAcentral lists this ribosomal RNA (1252 nucleotides) under metagenome. Its description in RNAcentral is "bacterial SSU rRNA". It matches the Rfam family "Bacterial small subunit ribosomal RNA", at positions 243 to 1520 of the family's 1533-position model. The record is from RNAcentral.